Molecule: ribosomal RNA, 390 nt
Filed under: uncultured eukaryote
Lineage: Eukaryota
Description: SSU rRNA
Rfam family: Eukaryotic small subunit ribosomal RNA
Source: RNAcentral
AGCUCCAAUAGCGUAUAUUAAAGUUGCUGCAGUUAAAAAGCUCGUAGUUGGAUUUUGGGCAUGUGCUUGGCGUCGCGCCGGAUUGGCGCUGGCGCAAGGCCGUACCUUUCUUUCGCAUGGCAGCCCGGUGCACUUAAAUGGGCGCCGGUGUCUGUAUGCGAUCGUUUACUGUGAGAAAAUUAGAGUGUUCAAAGCAGCCACAUUUUCAGGCGUUGAAUAGUACAGCAUGGGAUAAUAAAACAAGACUGGUUUCUUAUUUUGUUGGUUUUCAAGAAACAGGUAAUGAUUAAAAGGGAUAGUUGGGGAUAUUAGUAUUUAAUUGUCAGAGGUGAAAUUCUUGGAUUUAUGAAAGACUAACUUCUGCGAAAGCAUUUAUCAAGGAUGUUUUCA